CCUUCGGGUCUAGUGGCGCACGGGUGCGUAACGCGUGGGAACCUGCCCUUAGGUUCGGAAUAACUCCUCGAAAGGGGUGCUAAUACCGGAUAAUGUCUUCGGACCAAAGAUUUAUCGCCUUUGGAUGGGCCCGCGUUGGAUUAGCUAGUUGGUGGGGUAAAGGCCUACCAAGGCGACGAUCCAUAGCUGGUCUUAGAGGAUGAUCAGCCACACUGGGACUGAGACACGGCCCAGACUCCUACGGGAGGCAGCAGUGGGGAAUAUUGGACAAUGGGGGAAACCCUGAUCCAGCAAUGCCGCGUGAGUGAUGAAGGCCUUAGGGUUGUAAAGCUCUUUUACCCGGGAUGAUAAUGACAGUACCGGGAGAAUAAGCCCCGGCUAACUCCGUGCCAGCAGCCGCGGUAAUACGGAGGGGGCUAGCGUUGUUCGGAAAUACUGGGCGUAAAGCGAACGUAGGCGGCUUAGCAAGUCAGGGGUGAAAUCCCAGAGCUCAACUCUGGAACUGCCUUUGAAACUGCUUCGCUUGAAUCCUGGAGAGGCGAGUGGAAUUCCGAGUGUAGAGGUGAAAUUCGUAGAUAUUCGGAAGAACACCAGUGGCGAAGGCGAC
RNAcentral lists this ribosomal RNA (607 nucleotides) under bacterium. RNAcentral describes it as "bacterial SSU rRNA". It matches the Rfam family "Bacterial small subunit ribosomal RNA", at positions 83 to 725 of the family's 1533-position model. The record is from RNAcentral.